GACGAACGCUGGCGGCGUGCCUAAUACAUGCAAGUUGAGCGAUGAAGAUUGGUGCUUGCACCAAUUUGAAGAGCAGCGAACGGGUGAGUAACGCGUGGGGAAUCUGCCUUUGAGCGGGGGGCAACAUUUGGAAACGAAUGCUAAUACCGCAUAACAACUUUAAACAUAAGUUUUAAGUUUGAAAGGUGCAAUUGCAUCACUCAAAGAUGAUCCCGCGUUGUAUUAGCUAGUUGGUGAGGUAAAGGCUCACCAAGGCGAUGAUACAUAGCCGACCUGAGAGGGUGAUCGGCCACAUUGGGACUGAGACACGGCCCAAACUCCUACGGGAGGCAGCAGUAGGGAAUCUUCGGCAAUGGACGAAAGUCUGACCGAGCAACGCCGCGUGAGUGAAGAAGGUUUUCGGAUCGUAAAACUCUGUUGGUAGAGAAGAACGUUGGUGAGAGUGGAAAGCUCAUCAAGUGACGGUAACUACCCAGAAAGGGACGGCUAACUACGUG
This 497-nucleotide ribosomal RNA is filed under the name uncultured bacterium. RNAcentral's name for it is "partial 16S ribosomal RNA". It matches the Rfam family "Bacterial small subunit ribosomal RNA", at positions 28 to 507 of the family's 1533-position model. The record is from RNAcentral.